RNAcentral lists this ribosomal RNA (358 nucleotides) under uncultured fungus. RNAcentral's name for it is "eukaryotic LSU rRNA". The stretch from base 1 to 71 matches the Rfam family "5.8S ribosomal RNA", at positions 84 to 154 of the family's 154-position model. The record is from RNAcentral. Lineage: Eukaryota; Fungi.
GUGAAUCAUCGAAUCUUUGAACGCACCUUGCGCUCCUUGGUAUUCCGAGGAGCAUGCCUGUUUGAGUGUCAUGAAAUUCUCAACUGCCCCAGGCUUUGUGGCCUGCAGGUGAAGUUGGACUUGGAGGUAUGCUGGCGCAUGAAUGGGCUUUGUGCCCUGCCUUGCUUGUUGGCUCCUCUCGAAUGCAUGAGCUUUCCAAUCCUUGGCAAAGUAUCGUCGAUGUGAUAAUUGUCUUACGUCGCCCGAGAAAGCCGAAAAGGGGAAAUCUUUGAUCACGCUGGGGUGACCCGUGUCUGACAAAUUCGACCUCAAAUCAGGUAGGACUACCCGCUGAACUUAAGCAUAUCAUAAGGCGAGG